Molecule: long non-coding RNA, 235 nt
Filed under: Vitis vinifera (wine grape)
Lineage: Eukaryota; Viridiplantae; Streptophyta; Magnoliopsida; Vitales; Vitaceae
Description: long non-coding RNA (VVIN_LNC004952)
Source: RNAcentral
AAUAAAUUAAUAACUUACUAAAGCUAAAGAUUUAAAACUAACAAUUGUUAGGACAUGAGGUAGCUAUAUGGGCUCACUUAUCAUGGACCUAGGCUGGGCUCCAAAAACAAGCCCUUAUCUGAAACUAUGGGCAAGCCCAAUGGGCUAGCUAGAUCUCAAGCUCGAGCUGGGCUCCAAAAAUAAGCCCAAAUCUAAUGCUAGCAUGGGCGGGCUCAAGUAAACAUCUUCCUCACCA